This 727-nucleotide ribosomal RNA is filed under the name Nebularmis cirinoi. Its description in RNAcentral is "partial large subunit ribosomal RNA". It matches the Rfam family "Eukaryotic large subunit ribosomal RNA", at positions 30 to 632 of the family's 3401-position model. Lineage: Eukaryota; Metazoa; Tardigrada; Heterotardigrada; Echiniscoidea; Echiniscidae. The record is from RNAcentral.
GAACUUAAGCAUAUUAAUAAGCGGAGGAAAAGAAACCAACAGGGAUAUUCUCAGUAACGGCGAGUGAAGAGAAUAAAGCCCAGCGCUGAAUCGUAUUGCUCGCAAGGGUAGUACGACAUGUAGCGUGAAACUGGCGGCUGUUGAUGUUGUCGAUGCGUGUAAGUCUCCUUGAGCGGGGCUCAGUCCCAGAGAUGGUGCUAGGCCCGUAUCGCGCAUGACAAGUACAGCAACGCCCGCUUGUGGAGAGUCAGGUUGUUUGGGAACACAAUCUAAAGCCGGUGGUACACUCCAUCGAAGGCUAAAUAUGGCCACGAGUCCGAUAGCGAACAAGUACCGUGAGGGAAAAUUGAAAAGCACUUUGAAGAGAGAGCGAAAUAGUGCGUGAAACCGCUUAGAGGCAAGCAGAUGGAAUCUCGAAGGUGUGCAUAGGAUUUUUUAUAGUUUCCUAGUUCUCACGCCACCACUGUUGUUGACGUGCACCACACGCUGACAUUUGGACGCUUGAGAUUGGGACUCGUGCCUGCUUGAGACGCUCGGUGUUGGACGUGUUGAGUUUCUGUGGCAUGCAAUAACAGAGCAGAGCAUUUGUCGUCGCUGUAAAGCGCCGACUGUAGCCGCUUGCUGAUGCAUACUCUCGUUGUGGCGAGGCGCAAGCUUCGACAUGCGAUGUGUAUUGCAACUCGGCUACUAGUACCGGCAAGACGACUUUAAGACUCGGUGGCGAGUA